Molecule: ribosomal RNA, 477 nt
Filed under: uncultured bacterium
Lineage: Bacteria
Description: partial 16S ribosomal RNA
Rfam family: Bacterial small subunit ribosomal RNA
Source: RNAcentral
GAUUAACGCUGGCGGCGUGCAUAACACAUGCAAGUCGAACGAUGAAACUUAAAUGAUUUCUUCGGAAUGAACUUAAGUGGAUUAGUGGCGGACGGGUGAGUAACGCGUGAGUAACCUGCCUUACACAAGGGGAUAGCCGUUGGAAACGACGAAUAAUACCCUAUGAAACUAUCACUUCGCAUGAAGCGAUAGUCAAAGUGUUAGCGGUGUAAGAUGGACUUGCGUCUGAUUAGCUAGUUGGUGAGAAAAAAGCCCACCAAGGCAACGAUCAGUAGCCGGCUUGAGAGAGUGUACGGCCACAUUGGGACUGAGACACGGCCCAGACUCCUACGGGAGGCAGCAGGGGGGAAUUUUGCACAAUGGGGGAAACCCUGAUGCAGCGACGCCGGGUGAUUUAGAAGGCCUUCGGGUUGUAAAAAUCUUUUGUAUAGGAAGAAAAUGACAGUACUAAACGAAUAAGGGCCGGCUAAUUACGUG